RNAcentral lists this transfer RNA (74 nucleotides) under Oligella ureolytica. Its description in RNAcentral is "tRNA-Cys". It matches the Rfam family "tRNA". From Rfam's summary of the family: Transfer RNA (tRNA) molecules are approximately 80 nucleotides in length. RNAcentral also lists the same sequence under 6 other names. Lineage: Bacteria; Pseudomonadati; Pseudomonadota; Betaproteobacteria; Burkholderiales; Alcaligenaceae. The record is from RNAcentral.
GGCGCGAUAGCAAAGUGGUUAUGCAGUGGAUUGCAAAUCCAUCUAGAGCGGUUCGAUUCCGCUUCGCGCCUCCA